AGAGUUUGAUCAUGGCUCAGGACGAACGCUGGCGGCGUGCCUAACACAUGCAAGUCGAGCGAGGGCAGGGCUUCGGUCCUGACCCGAGCGGCGGACGGGUGAGUAACACGUGAGUAAUCUGUCUCUGUGCGGGGGACAACCCGGGGAAACUCGGGCUAAUACCGCAUGGUCGGUGAUCAGGAUCUGGUUAUCGGGAAAGGUGGCCUCUUUACAAUGCUGCCGUGCAGAGAGGAACUCGCGGGCUAUCAGCUAGUUGGUAGGGUUACGGCCUACCAAGGCGACGACGGCUACGGGGUCUGAGAGGACGACCCCGCACAUUGGAACUGAGACACGGUCCAGACUCCUACGGGAGGCAGCAGUGGGGAAUAUUGGGCAAUGGGCGAAAGCCUGAUCCAGCCAUGCCGCGUGAGUGAAGAAGGCCUUAGGGUUGUAAUGCUCUUUUGCCCGGGAAGAUAAUGACGGUACCGGGAGAAUAAGCCCCGGCAAACUUCGUGCCAGCAGCCGCGGUAAUAC
This 513-nucleotide ribosomal RNA is filed under the name uncultured bacterium. RNAcentral's name for it is "bacterial SSU rRNA". It matches the Rfam family "Bacterial small subunit ribosomal RNA", at positions 8 to 526 of the family's 1533-position model. The record is from RNAcentral.